GGCAGGUUCCAAGCACUCCAUUGUGAACUUGGUGUUAUCAACCAUUAUGAGUGCUGUAUCGUUAAAGCCCUCUGCAAUUCGGGAAGCCACCUUCUCAGCAACCUGGGUUGGACUGGCAUCUUUCACGCGUUCAUUUGCCUGGUAAUAUCCAGCUAUCACGUAGCUAUUCUCCUUGCACCAAGAGUCAAUCAGCGUGAGGGCCACCUCCAGCAUCGGAGCCAGCGCCAGGGUGCCGUGGAACAGCGGGAUGCAGUCGACGAACAGCGAAGGCGGCCCGGCCUGCUCUCGGCCCCGGCUCCCCGGCGGCCGCUCGGCCACCAGCAGCCCAUUCACGGCGCAGUGGGGGUACUUGGCGCCG
Molecule: long non-coding RNA, 358 nt
Filed under: Gallus gallus (chicken)
Lineage: Eukaryota; Metazoa; Chordata; Aves; Galliformes; Phasianidae
Source: RNAcentral